Long non-coding RNA from Chrysemys picta bellii (western painted turtle), 1760 nucleotides. The record is from Ensembl. NCBI's taxonomy places the organism in Eukaryota, Metazoa, Chordata, Testudines, Emydidae.
GUUAACGCAUUUUAACAGGAAGAGCUGCAGCUCAGUGUAUGGCUGUAGGCAAUCUUCUGGGGGGGGGGGGGAAAAUUGGGCAAAACUGUCCUGCCUUUUCUCAUAAUACACUAUUCCAACCCUUAGAGCAUGUCAUUUCCUGUUAUACACCAAGCAACUGCAUUGGUUCCUUAAAAGGAUAAGGAUAAGAAGCAGACAGUGGACUGAACCAGCUGUGACAGAAUGGCCUUUUUACUAACAGCAGCCAUGGUUUUCCAGACUUUACUGGGAAAUGCUGCUGGAGAAGGAUGGGAAUCAUAUAACAAUUUUUCCAUUUGGAACUACACAUUUUAUUUAUACGACAAUUACACAGAUGAUUAUCCUCCAGAAAACUCCACAGAUUAUUAUUAUUAUCCAGAAUACCCCACAGAUUAUCCUCCAGAAUACCGCACAGAUUAUUAUAGUGAAUUCGAAACUUCACUUGGAAAGGAUUUGACAAAGUCUGCAGGAUCAUCACUCCAGGGCCAUCUUCCCUUCUUAUUUGUCCUUCUCCAUCUUCUAUGUUUUUUGCUACAACAAUUCACACUUCUUUUGUAGAAGGUACUGAGGUUCUGUAUUGUUACUUGGGUAUUUGCGUGUCAUCAUUGUUGAUUCCUGAUCCAGCAAACAGUUCACUAGUUUCCAAGGCAGCAGCAGGCUGUGUGCUAUAACUCCAAGUGGAAAUUACAACUCAUUCUGAGCACCCAAAUAUGUGCUAGGAAUUUCAAAGCUGAAAGAAAGGAUCCUGUCCCUGCUACAUAAAGCUUGCAAUGUAAAAACCAGAUAGGACACUAGUGAGAGCCAAAGUCAGACAAAAAAGGGGAAAGAAAGAAAGGAAAGGAGUACAAAAAUUAGAUUAUGCAGUAACUUGGUAAGACAUGGAAACACCUUGGUGUAUCCAUUAAUUUCAGUUAUGGGGGUAAUUGGCUAGGCUUUCGCAAGUGACAUGGCAGAGGCGAGUUCUAAGAAAGGAUCCAAAUGAGGUUGGAGUGAAGGCUUGGCAAAUGAAGUUACAAAAGCUGGGAAUGGGAGAAAGAAAUGAAGGGGGAAAUCAAGGCUGAUAUCAAUGGCAGAAUGGAAAAAACUGGGGGAAUGCAAAGGGAGACAAGGUUGGAGAUGAAAGCAAGGGUAAGGACCUUGAAAUUGAUAUGUAGUGCAAAGUAGAGCUGGUGGAUGGGUAUGAAUUAGGGGAUGAGAUGAUCAAAAUGACAGGUGGGAAAGAUGAUUUGGUGGCAGAGUUUUGGAUGGACUGAGGAGAGACAUGGUAAGCACCCUGAAGACCAGAGAAGAGUCCGCAAUAGUCAAUGUCACAGUUUAGUAGGAUACGGACAAGUCAUUUAAGAUAAAAUUUUCAAAAUCGCCUAAGUGAUUUAUGAGCCUAAUUCCCAUUGACUUUUGGGACAAAACUUUUGUCAUAGCUCCAUCAAGUUCAAUGGACAAUUUACACCAGGUGAGGAUUUGCCUCUGAGAUUUCAGUAGUCAUGAUUCAAGACUCUUCCAAACACACAGUGACUAUAUGUAAAUCUCAUCCUCAAAAAAUCCAUCUUCAUUAGAUCCUAGCAAAUGGUCUCAUAUAUAAAAUGUUGACUUCUCUUUAUCGGAACAGUUUUAUUGUCCUUUGCAUUCUUUGAGCUGUGCUCAGUUCCACUAAAUCUGAUUUGAUGUUUGCUCCUAGAAUUUACUAAGUUUGGGGUACAGCUAUGCAAACUGUUCAUAAUAAAAUCCAAGCUCCAUUGACUUCA